AAUGGUAGGUGCUGGAGGUGGGGAAAAUAUUCUCCAUAGUACCAAAACAAGCCAGGGAAAGAGGAAGAAGAGCACCUUCACAAUAGGGCUGCCACCAUAACAGGAGUGGCUAAAAUGUACUUUGCUGCAGGAGGGAUUCGGUAGGCAAAAAAAACCAAAACCAAACUCAGCACAUGCAUCCCUGGUUCACAAGAUUUAUCAGAGGCUAAGAAGUGGACAGAACUUGGAAGCCCCUUGUGAAAUAUUGGCAGCGCUCUACUGUGACAUACUCAGGUUUACUACCGCUAGACCAAAGAGAGCUGCUGAAUCUUCAUUAUUUGCAGAACAUCGUGUCUUGCUAGAAACCGUGUAACUGCUGAUCAGCUCCAUAAAAUCACCGCUAGAUAAUAAGCUGGUAUUUUCAACCGGAAAGAAGAAAUUCAGGGUUGCAACUUCUGGAAGGCAAGAACUAUAGAUU
Long non-coding RNA from Mauremys reevesii (Reeves's turtle), 457 nucleotides. RefSeq lists it as uncharacterized. The transcript is spliced from 3 exons. Lineage: Eukaryota; Metazoa; Chordata; Testudines; Geoemydidae. The record is from RefSeq and is a predicted model, not a curated record.